ACAUCCAGCGAACUUGGCAGAGAUGCCUUGGUGCCUUCGGGAACGCUGAGACAGGUGCUGCAUGGCUGUCGUCAGCUCGUGUUGUGAAAUGUUGGGUUAAGUCCCGCAACGAGCGCAACCCUUAUCCUUUGUUGCCAGCGAUUCGGUCGGGAACUCAAAGGAGACUGCCGGUGAUAAACCGGAGGAAGGUGGGGAUGACGUCAAGUCAUCAUGGCCCUUACGAGUAGGGCUACACACGUGCUACAAUGGCGCAUACAAAGAGAAGCGACCUCGCGAGAGCAAGCGAACCUCAUAAAGUGCGUCGUAGUCCGGAUCGGAGUCUGCAACUCGACUCCGUGAAGUCGGAAUCGCUAGUAAUCGUGGAUCAGAAUGCCACGGUGAAUACGUUCCCGGGCCUUGUACACACCGCCCGUCACACCAUGGGAGUGGGUUGCAAAAGAAGUAGGUAGCUUAACCUCCGGGAGGGCGCUUACCACUUUGUGAUUCAUGACUGGGGUGAAGUCGUAACAAGGUAGGCGUAGCGAG
RNAcentral lists this ribosomal RNA (525 nucleotides) under uncultured bacterium. Its description in RNAcentral is "bacterial SSU rRNA". It matches the Rfam family "Bacterial small subunit ribosomal RNA", at positions 984 to 1509 of the family's 1533-position model. The record is from RNAcentral.